RNAcentral lists this ribosomal RNA (253 nucleotides) under uncultured bacterium. RNAcentral describes it as "partial 16S ribosomal RNA". It matches the Rfam family "Bacterial small subunit ribosomal RNA", at positions 524 to 776 of the family's 1533-position model. The record is from RNAcentral.
UACGUAGGGUGCAAGCGUUAUCCGGAUUUAUUGGGCGUAAAGGGCUCGUAGGCGGUUCGUCGCGUCCGGUGUGAAAGUCCAUCGCUUAACGGUGGAUCCGCGCCGGGUACGGGCGGGCUUGAGUGCGGUAGGGGAGACUGGAAUUCCCGGUGUAACGGUGGAACGUGUAGAUAUCGGGAAGAACACCAAUGGCGAAGGCAGGUCUCUGGGCCGUUACUGACGCUGAGGAGCGAAAGCGUGGGGAGCGAACAGG